CUCUUUUCAAACUGAUGUCUUAAAUCUUGUUCACGCCAUUUUCAAUCCAGAGGAAGACCUUCUAAAAGAGGUGAUGGAUGGGAGAGUGCUGACAUACUAUGUGAAGCUACUAUUUGGAGUUGGACACGAGUGCAUGUGACCUUGUGCCACAGCGGGAAUCUUGACUACCACACAAAUGAAUCCAUUCAAAUGUUGGCAAGUGGAGCAGAGUCCCAGGACAGUCUGCAAUCUCUACAGGUACAGAAACACCCCCAGUUCAAGAAUCUUCACAUCUGAAUUUAGUCCUACACCUGCAACUACCCCAGUUUCAUUUCAACUUAGGUUUAAGGGGUUCUUGAUAAUCUGACAUGAUAAGUGGUGUUGGAAUUGGCAUUAAAAUCCACCAUGCUCUACAGCACUUCAUCCUUCUUCGGCAGGCACCAAUUUGAUCUUCUACUACUUUGCAGACAUCUCUUCUGCAAACACCAGACAAAUUGAGACAAUGACCUUCCGCAGGACCCAAACCACCUCUUACUGCAGGAAAGAAGAUCCAGUGAGAUAGUUAGUCCACAAAUGGAAUGUAAAUCCAU
Molecule: long non-coding RNA, 569 nt
Filed under: Homo sapiens (human)
Lineage: Eukaryota; Metazoa; Chordata; Mammalia; Primates; Hominidae
Description: non-protein coding lnc-ZNF705D-2:47
Source: RNAcentral